UGUGUGUGUGUGUGUGUGUGUGUGUGUGUGUGUGUGUGUGUGUGUGUGUGUGUCCUGUCCUGUCCUGUCCCUGCUGGGGAUCUGCUGAUGUUUUCUUCAGCAGGAUUGUGAGCCAUUUCCAUGUAUUAGUCGGAAGUGAGCGAGUAGGCAUUAGUGAUUAGCCCACGACAAGCAGAGGUCUUGGAAAGGUCACCCUCUGACUCCAUCGGAGGAGAGAUGUUUGUCUCUGACUGAUUCUUUCCAUAGGGGAGAGGAGAUGUUCAUCUCAGACUGACUGACCUGUGCCGAGGUUCUCUGAGCUCUUCUUGUUUGACCAGAGGUGCUCCUCCCCAACUGAUCAUCUCCAUGCAAGCAGACACUCCCAUCUGGCUGAUGAUUUCGUGCAGGCGAGUGAUCCUAUGACGGAUCCACUCCGGCUGAUCCGUACGAGUACAGACGUCCUCUGACUGAUCCGUACGAGUAGAGAUGUCCUCUGACUGAUCCGUACGAGUAGAGAUGUCCUCUGACUGAUCCGUACGAGUAGAGAUGUCCUCUCUGAUCCGUACGAGUAGAGAUGUCCUCUCUGAUCCGUACGAGUAGAGAUGUCCUCUCUGAUCCGUACGAGUAGAGAUGUCCUCUGACUGAUCCGUACGAGUAGAGAUGUCCUCUGACUGAUCCGUACGAGUAGAGAUGUCCUCUCUGAUCCGUACGAGUAGAGAUGUCCUCUAACUGAUCCGUACGAGUAGAGAUGUCCUCUCUGAUCCGUACGAGUAGAGAUGUCCUCUAACUGAUCCGUACGAGUAGAGAUGUCCUCUCUGAUCCGUACGAGUAGAGAUGUCCUCUCUGAUCCGUACGAGUACAGAUGUCCUCCGACUCCUCUGCAUUCUCUGGCUCUGAGUCUUCCUCACUGUUUGUCUUAUGAGUGAAGGGUCCAGGCAGGACGUGAUCAGAGGCUUUUCCAAAGCUGGUCCCGCAUUCAGUCACACUCGAAGACACGGUUCUGGUCCCGCAUCCAAUCACACUCGAAGACACGGUUCUGGUCGUGCAUCCAAUCACACUCGAAGACACGGUUCUAGUCCUGCAUCCAAUCACACUCGAAGACACGGUUCUGGUCCUGCAUUCAGUCGCACUCGAAGACACGGUUCUGCUCCUGCAUCCAAUCACACUCGAAGACACGGUUCUGGUCCCGCAUCCAAUCGCACUCGAAGACACGGUUCCAGACUUGAAUUCACUGCCAGGCACGCCGAGGCAAUCUUACUCUUCACUUCGAUGCACUUAUACCUUCAUUCCUGCCCGGACACUCCGUGUGCUCUCUGUAGACAUGUGAGCGCUGAGGGGGGACACCUGAUGGUGCCGGUGUCAGAGCUGAUGUCUCUAUGCAGGGGGAAAGGGGAACACUGGGGUCCUUACCUGUGGAGCAUUAAAGUGCUCACAUUACAUGCAGCAGAGGUGUGUGUGUCUGUCUGUCUGUCUGAGAGCAUGUGUGUGUCGUGUGUAGAGGUGUCUGUUAUGUGGCUGAAACAGGGCCAUGUUGGAUGACUGCGGUGUUUGGAUUCAAGAGUGAAACUGUAUGUUUGGCCACUGCUCAUGACGGAGGGCUUUGUGCGGGGGGAACAUGAAUCAUUCAGACCUAUGUAACAAUGAAAGACUUCAAACCAAAUAAACUUCAUCAAUCAACUAUCUGUGCAAGUUGCAUGUGUUCAUGAUGUGUGGAUUAUUGUCUGGAAAUGUGGAGAGAAAA
This is a long non-coding RNA of Clupea harengus (Atlantic herring), 1720 nucleotides long. The record is from Ensembl. NCBI's taxonomy places the organism in Eukaryota, Metazoa, Chordata, Actinopteri, Clupeiformes, Clupeidae.